CUGUUUGUUUGUUUGUUUGUUUAUUUAUUUAUUUAUUUCCCCCCAUGAAAUCAGAAUGAACGUUUUGUAGGUUUUAAGUAGGAAUCCGUCCUCGUGACUACGCCUGGAUGUAAAUCCACAGAAAGCUUCUCGCUUUGGAAACGUUCUUGUCUGAUUUCCUCCUCUUGAGAUUUAAAAAAAGAAAUCGUUAUUUAUUUUUGAAUAACUUCAUGACGUGCAGUGAACUCUGACCGAGCAGCCGAUCUGUGUGUAAAUAUUCCCAGUGAGUUACUUGACGGACAUCUCUUCAGUAAACAUUUCCCGUCUCGCUGAUGUGGUGAGGUUUUUCUGUAAGGGGUCUCCAGUGUCCGAACAGAAGAAUUUAUGGUUUGUUUAUUUUGUUUUUUUUGCUAUUUUUGUCUUAUUAACGUCGAUGGAGAGAAUAAAGCACGGCUGGUGAGAGAGCGACUGUUUAUAGCCGCCGCAACGGCUUUCCUUUCCUGUAUGGAGCAGCUGCCAUGCCAGGAUGCAAGAACAGACUCCACCACACUGGGGCCGUAGUGGACAUCCUGGCUUUCUUCAGACGCCCGAGGAAGCCGAGGUGUCGGAGAUCCUUUUUGAUGAUGGAUCGAGUGAGUGUGACCCGUAGGAAUCUGAAGCUGUUGACCCUCUCUACUUUGUCCCCUCUGAUGGAGAUUGGUGUGUACCUUCUCCUGUUUCCUAAAGUCAAUCUCCAGCUCUGUGGUUUUACUGGCAUUAAGAAACAGGUUGUAGCUCUGGCACCAUCGUCCCCAGAACCUCACCUCCUACCUGUCGGCCGCCUCGCCAUCGCGGGCAAUCGGACCUCCGGCAAGGCUGGUGUCGUCGGCAAACUUAAUGACAGUGUCGGAGUGUGAAAGGCCACGUAAUCAUAUGUAAACGAGGAAUACCACAUCGGGCUCGGAACGCCUCCCUGUGGAACGCCAGUGUUGGCGAGGAAAUCCAGGAUCCAGUUGCACAACAUGGUGCUUAUUCCCAGAUCUAGAUCGAGCUCCGUGUUAAACACGGAGCUCGAUUCCCACACGCAGUUUAAUGUUCUCCCCGUGCUUCCUCCAGCAGUCCCGAAUGUGUGUGUGAUUGUGUCCUGUCCAGGGCGUCCCCCGAGUUCCUCGGGAUAGGCUCCGGAUCGGAAGGUCGUGAGUUCAGAUCCCAGCGCGGCCAUCGCUGGGCCCUCGAGCGAAGACCUUAACCUUCAACUAGAUAUAAAUGUAAGUUGCUCUGGAUAGGAGCCUCAGCCAAAUGCCAUUAGUGUGUGCGUGCGUCUGUCUGUCUGUCUGUCUGCCUCUGGGCAUUUCCUAAAGCUCAAUUUGUUCUACGUGUUUUUUUAGACCCAGUUGUUAAGAUGAAGCCAAAUAUGCAAAUACGGUUGAAAUUCAAAUGUUUCCACAGGAAGGGCUUGCUGUAUUCCCAGCCUCAUCAUUUCCUAGUUUGUUUUUAUUCAUUUGUCUUAUUUUAUCCAAAUAAGGAACAUUAAUGAAUAGUUGAUGGUUAAGAGCGAUUUUUAUUUAUUUUUUUAAAUCAUUUUUAUUAUAACCGUGGCAAACGAAGCAGAAGCAGAUGAUUUUGAUAUUCACAUUUUUGUUCUUUUGUUCAAGUAGCAUGAGAAAACUUGAGCUGGUCAAUUACGACAGAAUUUAGGAACACAGUGUGAACCACGACACAUUAAUCUACCUUCUGAGAAACUAAAUGUAAUAGACUAAAUGUUUUCAGUUCAUUUUACAGACUGUAUGCUAAAAACAACCGUUAACCUGUUUACCUUGUAAACAAAUACAAUAAACAUCAAUGCUCA
This is a long non-coding RNA of Ictalurus punctatus (channel catfish), 1807 nucleotides long. NCBI's taxonomy places the organism in Eukaryota, Metazoa, Chordata, Actinopteri, Siluriformes, Ictaluridae. The record is from Ensembl.